Molecule: ribosomal RNA, 253 nt
Filed under: uncultured bacterium
Lineage: Bacteria
Description: partial 16S ribosomal RNA
Rfam family: Bacterial small subunit ribosomal RNA
Source: RNAcentral
UACGGAGUAUGCAAGCGUUAUCCGGAAUGAUUGGGCGUAAAGCGUCCGCAGGUGGCAAUGUAAGUCUGCUGUUAAAGAGUCUAGCUCAACUAGAUAAAAGCAGUGGAAACUACAUAGCUAGAGUACGUUCGGGGCAGAGGGAAUUCCUGGUGUAGCGGUGAAAUGCGUAGAGAUCAGGAAGAACACCGGUGGCGAAGGCGCUCUGCUAGGCCGUAACUGACACUGAGGGACGAAAGCUAGGGGAGCGAAUGGG